GAUGAAGAACGCAGCGAAAUGCGAUACGUAAUGUGAAUUGCAGAAUUCAGUGAAUCAUCGAGUCUUUGAACGCACAUUGCGCCCCCUGGUAUUCCGGGGGGCAUGCCUGUCCGAGCGUCAUUGCUGCCCUCAAGCACGGCUUGUGUGUUGGGCCUCCGUCCUCCUCCCGGGGGACGGGCCCGAAAGGCAGCGGCGGCACCGCGUCCGGUCCUCGAGCGUAUGGGGCUUCGUCACCCGCUCUUGUAGGCCCGGCCGGCGCUUGCCUACACAUCAAUCUUUUUUCCAGGUUGACCUCGGAUCAGGUAGGGAUACCCGCUGAACUUAAGCAUAUCAAUAAGCGGAGGA
This 345-nucleotide unclassified non-coding RNA is filed under the name soil metagenome. RNAcentral's name for it is "partial contains 5.8S ribosomal RNA, internal transcribed spacer 2, and large subunit ribosomal RNA". The stretch from base 1 to 120 matches the Rfam family "5.8S ribosomal RNA", at positions 35 to 154 of the family's 154-position model. The record is from RNAcentral.